Molecule: non-coding RNA, 116 nt
Filed under: Bacillus infantis
Lineage: Bacteria; Bacillati; Bacillota; Bacilli; Caryophanales; Bacillaceae
Also listed under: 1 other name
Description: TPP sequence
Rfam family: TPP riboswitch aptamer (THI element)
About the family: Vitamin B(1) in its active form thiamin pyrophosphate (TPP) is an essential coenzyme that is synthesised by coupling of pyrimidine and thiazole moieties in bacteria. The previously detected thiamin-regulatory element, thi box was extended, resulting in a new, highly conserved RNA secondary structure, the THI element, which is widely distributed in eubacteria and also occurs in some archaea. Analysis of operon structures identified a large number of new candidate thiamin-regulated genes, mostly transporters, in various prokaryotic organisms.
Source: RNAcentral
UUUUGGCACUGGGGGUGCCGGUAGAGGCCGGCUGAGAGUAAGACCCGUUUUUAGUCUUUGACCCUUUUAUACCUGAUCUGGUUCGUACCAGCGGAGGGAAGUGUAGAUGGCUUUUA